This 484-nucleotide ribosomal RNA is filed under the name uncultured bacterium. Its description in RNAcentral is "partial 16S ribosomal RNA". It matches the Rfam family "Bacterial small subunit ribosomal RNA", at positions 30 to 507 of the family's 1533-position model. The record is from RNAcentral.
AUUGAACGCUGGCGGCAGGCCUAACACAUGCAAGUCGAGCGGAUGAAGGGAGCUUGCUCCUGGAUUCAGCGGCGGACGGGUGAGUAAUGCCUAGGAAUCUGCCUGGUAGUGGGGGAUAACGUCCGGAAACGGGCGCUAAUACCGCAUACGUCCUGAGGGAGAAAGUGGGGGAUCUUCGGACCUCACGCUAUCAGAUGAGCCUAGGUCGGAUUAGCUAGUUGGUGGGGUAAAGGCCUACCAAGGCGACGAUCCGUAACUGGUCUGAGAGGAUGAUCAGUCACACUGGAACGGGGACACGGUCCAGACUCCUACGGGAGGCAGCAGUGGGGAAUAUGGGACAAUGGGCGAAAGCCUGAUCCAGCCAUGCCGCGUGUGUGAAGAAGGUCUUCGGAUUGUAAAGCACUUUAAGUUGGGAGGAAGGGCAGUAAGUUAAUACCUUGCUGUUUUGACGUUACCAACAGAAUAAGCACCGGCUAACUUCGUG